GAUGAAGAACGCAGCGAAAUGCGAUAAGUAAUGUGAAUUGCAGAAUUCAGUGAACCAUCGAAUCUUUGAACGCACAUUGCGCCCGGCAGUAAUCUGCCGGGCAUGCCUGUCCGAGCGUCAUUUCUGCCCUCGAGCCUGUCCAGCAUCUAGGUGCUGUUCAGGUCCGGCGUUGGGGCACUACGGGAAGCCUCGUGCUAUCCCCCGUAGGCCCCGAAAUGAAGUGGCGGUCCUGCCGCGGCUCCCCCUGCGUAGUAUUACAGCUCGCUUCGGGACCCGGUGGAGGCCUGCCGUCAAACCUUACUCUCUAAGUUUGACCUCGGAUCAGGUAGGGUUACCCGCUGAACUUAAGCAUAUCAAUAAGCGGAGGA
This 368-nucleotide unclassified non-coding RNA is filed under the name soil metagenome. RNAcentral's name for it is "partial contains 5.8S ribosomal RNA, internal transcribed spacer 2, and large subunit ribosomal RNA". The stretch from base 1 to 120 matches the Rfam family "5.8S ribosomal RNA", at positions 35 to 154 of the family's 154-position model. The record is from RNAcentral.